This 636-nucleotide long non-coding RNA is filed under the name Triticum aestivum (bread wheat). Its description in RNAcentral is "long non-coding RNA (TAES_LNC011320)". The record is from RNAcentral. Lineage: Eukaryota; Viridiplantae; Streptophyta; Magnoliopsida; Poales; Poaceae.
UUAGUUUCUGAUAAGUUACGGAAAGUAACUAGUAGAUAACUUUUCACAUAAAUAACUUAUGCAAACACAUGGUUGUUUCCCAUUGAUCUCUUACUGAAACAACUAUAAGAAACACCACAAAUGAAAAGUGAUGAGGUAACGUUUGAAGACAUAUCACCUCUGGAGCCCCUCAAAUCCACUACACUAAAUUGGAGCACACCAUGCUGAGAAAAAAUAAUGAAGGGAUUGGCUGCAAUUACACUAUGUGAUGUUCUCAUUCUAGCUGAAGACACUCAUGCUGAAUCGCAGAUGCAGCAAAGAGAGUAGGCGUCGUAUGGUCGCUCUGUAGCCAAUUCAUCGCCUCUCUUGAUGGCAUGGAUCCCUGCAGCCAAACCAAGGUGCAAUAAUUUCUCAAAUAGAGGUAACUGGUGACAGCUAAAACUUUAGAAAAUAAUUAAAUAUCACAAACAAAUAUAAUUUGAACGUUGUGAUUUAUACCAACAACUGCAGGCUGAUGCAUACGUAAGCGAAAUACCUACGGUUGGCAGCACAUGAGAAAUAGUACCUAGGCAUAAAAAAUGUGAAGCAAAAGUAUACCUUGUGAUUUCAUUAUAGAAGCCGAACCAUAUCCAUUAAUCAAGAAGUUAACCUUGCAAG